Molecule: non-coding RNA, 4952 nt
Organism: Sus scrofa (pig)
Lineage: Eukaryota; Metazoa; Chordata; Mammalia; Artiodactyla; Suidae
Source: RefSeq, a predicted model, not a curated record
AAGGAUACCCUGACCGGCCCUUCCAAGCACAGGCAACUACCCCCUGCCCACCUUUGCGCCCACUCAGAGCAUGGCUAUUCCCACAGCCCACCGGGCCUUGGUCUACCUGGUCCUGUGGGUGCUCCCUGUAGGCUCCUGGAGCAGAGUCCAUCCUGACCCAUCCUCCUGCUCUGCUGGGCUUCCUGGGACAUUGUCAGUACCCAGUGCCCCGUGUGAUCCACCUUCCGAAGUAGACUGCAGUUUCAUUAGCAGAACAGUUGUGGAAUUAGGUUCUCACUGUCUAAUGAAUCUGACUAUUGGGUUCACAUUAUACAGGAGCCUUUAAUUAAAUAGAUAUAGAAAGGUUGGAAUACAAAGCUAGUUACAGCAUGCUCUCUUUUGCAAGUUAAUUUUAUCCAAUUUUAGCAGGGUUGACUCUGCGGCUGCUGGUGAUUUUGCUCCAAUUCGGGCAAAGCUUCUCUGCCCCCGCGAGGCGUGGAGAGGGGAGAGGGCACUGACCUGCAGCAUGGCAGGUGUUCUUGGUGGAGGGAGGGAUUCAGCAGGUCCAGGGCUGCUGCUUCGAGGCCAAGGGGGUCACCUGGGUUCGGUGGGAGAGGCCUCCACACUUCCCUGCCAGGGCCAGGGCUCUUUUCCCUCUGAUUCCCUUGCCUUUCGAUCUUGGGGUCACAUUUUGGGAGAGAAGAGAGAGAGCUGUCUUUUCACUUGGUCUUGCUCUUUCCCAUCUAGCCCACUGCCAAUGUCUGCUCUUCUUUCCCUCGUCGGCCCUCCAGGCGGUUGGCGGUUCGGAGUUGGUAAAUGAGCCUAGGCUUUGGGGUUGGGCAGGUGAAGGUUCACAUCAUAUCUGUGACAUGUGCUGGAUGACCUCAGGCAGAUUUGUCCCCUAACCCCCCGUUUCUGCAUCUGUAAAGGGCGGAUGUUGCUAACUCAUAUCAAGUAGUUAAGAGAAUGUAUGAUAAAGGCAGCUACAGCACGCUCUCUGCCACACAGUCAGUGUUUAAUACAUGACCAUACAGUUGGUGUUUAAUAAAUGUCCGUUGCUUCUGCUUCCACCUUCCUCCCUUUUCCCCAGUCCUAAGUUGUUGUUCUGGAGUGUUGCCAUCACCGUACACCUGUUGAGGACAGUCUGGCCUCCAGCACGGAGAUGCCACUGGGGAGCUUCGUAUGCUUCUGCGAGCCCCUGUCUCGCUGCCCAGCCCCUGGGCUCUCUGCACUGUGUGGGGUGCCACUUUCCCAGGCCUUCACAGCCCUGUGUAAGGUGCCCUGACUCCUCACGUCCCACUCUUCCCUCUUCCAGAUCCAGGGAUGGGGCCACACCAGGCAGCUGUCUCUUGUAUCCCCAUGUCUUUAUGUUCCAUUCCUCCUUCCUAUGGGGCCUCCCCAUACCCACCCCUGGCUCUAUGGAAUUAUCCUGAUCCCUGAACCUGCCCCACAUGGGCACACAGUCCAGGUGUCCCUGUGUUUGGCAUCUGCUUGGUACCCGUACGCUCAUUUUAUUUUUAUAACUCACACCUCUGGUCUUCUUGCUCCCCUUCAUCUUUGUAGGUUUCGGGGGUGGGGGGUGGAGGUGUCAUGAGCUGUCUGCCAACCGGUUGGUGGCCCUCCCCAAACGCAGAGUGCGGCCUCCCAUUUCAUUUGCUCUCUGCUCCAGGCCCCUGUGUGGUCUCGAACCACGGGGUGUUGGACAUUGCAUGUUGGUAGAAGAGCUUGUGGUUACGCUCCCUCGCCCUCGCUGUAACUCAGCCCGGGAAGCUUGCUUUCUCCUUACAGUUUCCUUGCGUCUAGGGUGCUUGCCAGAUGGGUGCGCUAUCACUUUGCUCCGGGUGCCGACCAGCACAGCUGGCUUUCUGCUCUGUGUGGAAUGACCCCUUUCCCUCCACGUGGAGUAACCUUCCCCAGUCUCCCCACAUCCUCCAGGGUCCUUCCCACCGGAAGCAAUCGUGCCUUCUUUGGGGUCCGUAUCUCUUUAGCUGAAGCUGUCUUUGGGCACAAUCUUACUUCUCUUGACUUAACCUCCCCCUACUUGGGAGUCAGGAUUAGGAAUUUGGGCGUCUCCGUCCUGACCAGGUGACCUUGGACAAGAAACAGAAGCCCUCUGAGCCUGAACGCAAGGCCCCCCAUUAGACACUCAGCACUUAGCCGAACACACAAUAGGCUCUCAGAAAUGUAACUUCCCUUUUCCUCUGUUCCCCUGAUAGACUGGAUAAGCUACUUGGGGACCUGAUCUGUUCCCGUGUGUGGAGCAUGUACGUGGCACAUUACCGGAGUCUUGUAGAUACUGGUUGAAUGGAUGACUACAGCCUGGGAGGUCGGGCACCUCAAGGGAAUGCCAUGCUCCAUCCGGGUCUCUCCUGCAGUAGGAAGCAUCUCAGGGCUUCACUGGAGGGCCGCUAGGAGCCCACUGGCCCGAAUGUGCUGUGCUGCCCUAGCCAGGGCUCCGUCAGGAAGCGCACCCCAGCAGUGUCUGUAAGGCGGGCGGGGGCAGCACUGAGGGGAAGAGCUGCUUACACACAUUCGGGUGGGCCCGAGCCCCCCCUUCAGAGAAGAGGAAGGCCUUUGUGUCAGCCCCCGAGAUGCCGCCACUUCAGGGUCCUGUGGUCUCAUACGCAUACCCUAGCAACUUUGGGCCUCUUUUCCUCUGCAGUCUGUGCAAACGGUUCAUCCCUCUGACUUUCACUUGCCGCUGCCCUUGUUAAAGAGGAUUCGGUGAUGGGGAAGGUGUGAUGGGUCUUCACAACAGGGCCUUCAUUCCCCCUGCAGAUAACUCUUAACCUGCUUCAACGCUGUUUUUUCUGGACCCGCUUACCACUCCCCUCCCCAAGCCCUGUGCCAAGAUGGCUUGAAAAUAAAACAGCAGCAAGGGCUUCGUGAGGCUAGAGCACACCCCGAAUUGUUUUUUGCCCUUGCUGUUAAACAGCAGAGGCCCCAGGCCUCCAGAGAAACCUGGCUGUGUCAGGGAGGUGGAGUUGGGGGGCUGGGCCAGCAGUGCCAGCUUUUUUCCUGGAUUCCAGUAGCAGAAGUUGGGUUUUACCCAGUCCAGUUCCUCCCCGAGUCUCACAAUAACAGAACUAUGUGAGGUUUGAGAGGAGACGUUUAAUUAGAUGACCAAGGUUUUCUUGGUGCUGAAGGCUCCGUGCAGGGAGCCGACAGCAAGGCUGGCCCCUAAGGGCCUGUGGUGUGGACCCAGCUUAAGGGAGAUCAGCAGGGCAGAGCAUCACAGAACAACAGUGGUUCCAGAGCCUGGGACCAUGUUUUGAGAGGGGGCAGGCCGUGGAGAAGGGAGUCUGGGCUCCGGAUCGGGGUCAGGAUGCUCCUGGCUUCCCCUCCAUGUGGUUGCUGCCCUGGAAAGGCUCGCUCCUGCUGGUUCUCCUUCUCAGCGGAGCUGCACGGCGCUCACUUCCUCGCGGGCUCUGCGUGCUCGGCGCCCCACCCCCUCUUGGCGAGCGUGGCCCGUGUUUGUUAUUGUAGUUCUGGCGCUGGGCCAGGCCUGGCUGGGCGCCAGCCUUGUGGGUACAGUGUGUACAGUGAGUGCCGAGCCAAGUUUGUCAUCAUACACGAUUAAUUUUUUUUUUUUUCUCAUCUGGUAGGGGUGGGGUGAAGGAGGAGGCAAGACGGAGUUUCUCGGAUGCUUGAGAACAGGCCUGGUUGAAUUCUGCGGAGAUAAUAUUUCCUUCCCAGCUUUCCUUUCUCUCGAAUCAUCUCCCUCCUCUCCUCCACGUUUUCCUAUCCAGGGAAAUCGGCCUGUGUGAGAUCGACACUGUGAGGUCUUAUUUUCAGUGACUGGAAUACCAAAUUUACACUCCUAAAUCAGUUUUCAUUGUGUUGAAAUUGACAAUUUGUUUAAUUAGAAGUUUGCCCUGUAGGAGGCCCUUCUCAGAGACAGUUCUUUCUUUCUCUUUCUCUUUUUUUGCUUUUUUUAAGACCCUGCGUGGUAGAAGUGAACGUUCGGUUUCAAUGAAGUUUUGAUUUCGAUUUGAAUGCCUUCACUAAUCAAGUGUUUAUGAGAUAUACCCGAUGAUCACAAUACGUUGAAAUUAACAAACAAUCACCCCACUCACUAACUAAUGAGAUUGAUCUGGCCGGACCCUGCAUUCUCAGAGGUGGUUUGGGGAUCAAGAGGUUUGGGGCCUUGGCAGAGGGGCUUGGGGUGGGAAGAGUGACCUAUGGGGUUCUCCACAAAGCUGCUCUUUCUGGGAGGGGUUGUGAAUUUGAGGAGGGGGUGCAAGGAGCCGGGGAAGAGACCCAGCCCCUCGUCAUCCCCAGAUCACUCUGCAAUCUCCUACCCAUCGUUUGCUGCUGCCGUAUCCCUUGUGGGAGCAUCCGUGAGCUGCUAUCUCGUGCCCACUCCUUGUUCUCACUUAGGAGAACGUCCUAACCCUGGGAGGUCCAUGCAGAAACCGCACACCUGGGGGAUGAGUUGAGUGGGUUCUGCGAUUUGCCCGGGUCAGGUUUCCCAUUAGGUAGUGUUUCCCACAGCUUGGCCUAACGUCCUGGUGGAUGCUAAGAGAGCACACCCUGUUUUUGCCUUGGCCACAUGCUAUUUAGAGGCUUGCAGAGUUCUGUGGCCAGCUUCUAUUCUGGGAGCAUCAUCCGUCAGGCUCCGUGUGCUUCUUACUGGAGAACAGGCAUCACCCCUGCCCUCCAGGCGCUUACGUCUCAUUGGAGAGAUGUUUGACCGUGAAGUUGGGAUAAAAGAAGGGUAAAACCAAGAGAUACCCAAGAAGGAAACUUCCCAGGUCUCCUCCGUCUCCCUCAGCAUCCCUGCCGAGGGGUGUUGUUUACAGCAAGUGACAGGUCCUGUGAUGGUGUUGGGUGCCAUGCUGGCUCCAGGGCCAUUAAAGUUCCCCCAUCUCUGCACCUCAGUUCGGCUGGAUGUGUGUGUGCCUGGGUCCCCCAGCCCUGAAGAUGUCACAUCAGACCCGCCGAAGAGAGAAAGUUCAGAGAGUUCAUUGCAG